AGUGUUUAGUUCAAGUGAGAAGGUUCUAAUUUUUUUCUUAAUUUGAUUUGUUGAUUGACAUAGUUUAAAACGAUUAUCAUGCCAGCAUUAAUUUAUAGGUCAACAAAGUCUUACAAGAUGGUGAACCUGCAUCAUGUACAAAGUGUGGCGCUUACAGUCCUAUUGGUUAUUUGUUUAUUGCCAUCCUGUAAUUUGAUGAAAUUAGAAGAAGAUGAAAACGGUCAAUUUAAAGAAGAUGAAAACGGUUUUUAUUAUGCGGAUGGAAAGUGGUGUGGAAAGUGUCCUGCGGGAGAGUUCGUAUUCAAGGAUUGUAUAAGAAAUUUCACUAAAGCCCAGUGUAAAAGAUGUUCACGUGGGACAUUUUCAAUGUACUUGGAUAGAGCUAUAUCUUGCAAAGAUUGUAAAACAUGUGAAUUAAAUCAAGAUAAAAUUACAGACUGUACAACGAUGAGUGAUACUGUGUGCGUUUGUCGUGACAAUCUUUAUGAUGUACCCGAUUUGGGCUGUAUACCAAAACCGUCGACCUCUUCUACCCCUUCCACAUCUACAUCAUAUGUAUUUCCAGGAUGUCCUGAAGGAAUGUAUAGAGAUAACACUGCGAAUCUUAAUUGUUUACCAUGUUCAAAUUGCUCAACAGAGAUCCAACCUUGUAAUUCUACCAACGACGCCAUAUGUAAAAACAUAUCAAAUAAGAAUGAGGCUUCAUCCCAAAUAAAAAUACUGUAUGUAAUUUUUGUAUGUAUUGUAUUAUCCAUAAUGAUAUGUGGAGUUGUUUUUUACUGUACAAGACAAGGUAGAAACAAAAAAUCGAAAAGUUUCGGUGGUGAAGACGGAUCUAUAUGUCAAGUAGAAAUGGAGGCACUUAACAAUAGUGUUCAAAAUGUACAGUAAUUCGAUUCUGCAUACAACAGUUCCUGACAAUCCGAGAAUGGUAAGGGCCAAAAUCCUUUGUGGAAGACACGGCUGUCUAUCCAGUAUGAAAAAGGGCCGAUAGCCUGGAGAUCUCGUGUUCGAACCCGAUUUUGCUCAUGGAUAGAUGUGAACGCAAAAGGAGACCCUGAAAGUUGGAAUUGGAAAAAGGCGGACCCGGGGAAACACCACUGUUUGGCCAAAAUGUCCCCCAUAGUACAGCGUAUUCUAUUUUUGCUGUUUCUUUAAGAAGUUUAUAAUUCGACGAGAUACAUUGUAGUUCUAUGUUGCCUGAAAUGAAUGAAACUAUAGUGCGCAUGGGUGUGUUUUACGUGGAAGCCAAAAUAUUAAAUACCUGUACAUCAAAAUAGACGUACUGAGCUAUUACACAAAGAUGGGACAUGAUAAUCCAGUCAAUAUAAAUUCAAAUAUGAUUUCUCUUUUUUGCGAUCAAUCUGGUGGUGAAAUCGUAUUCGGGUGCCAUUUUACACGUUUGUCACAAAUCAUUAGUUUAUUGGAAACGGAAGAGACUUAUGGACCAGGGGCCUGUUUCACGAAAUUUUAACUAAGUUAAAAUCCAAAUUUUAGUAAUUUGAUUGGAUAAUAUUAGAUUGAUUUCAGUGCUUAGCCAAUCAAAAUCGAAGUAUCUACUAAAAUUUGGAUUUUAUCUUUAGUUAAAAUUUCGUAAAACAGGACCCAGAGAAACCGCAACCCUUGAACCGUGUGUGUUCUGUGUAAUCAAUCGCAUAUAACUGGACUGUGUUAGGAAUAUUCUUGCGGACCAGAGAAACCGCAACCCUUGAACCGUGUGUGUUCUGUGUAAUCAAUUGCAUAUAACUGGACUGUGUUAUGAAUAUUCCAAGAACAUCACCAUAAACUGUGGACAUUACAGUAUAUUAAAGCUGUAAAUUAUGGUUGGCAAAAAGGCGACUACAACAGCUACGUUAUGCGUUGGCCUAUUUACAGGUAAAGCGUCUAUUAAUUUACCCAUCUUAUAGACAGUGUAGCAUUACUGCCUCGCAAAACUAAAUGCCAAGAUAAACUUGCCACGCAACAUCUUCCUCGCAGAUGAGCCAACUUAAAAAUAGUAUCAAGUGUUUCGAAAAAGAUAGUAUACCCUUCCCCAUGCACGAUACGCCAUCCUUCAGAAAGUGAGUAUAUUUCUCACAACCGGGGCACAAAACUAGAGGCCUUGUUUGGAUAGAAUUACCAUUAGAUGAAAGAACUGUCCUUCAAAAUAAUGCAGGCCUAGCAACCCUUUGCUUAUUUUUAAGAACUCAAUACCGGGACCAGAAAGCGAGUCUUACUUUGUUUGUAGCCACACAAGACAAUGCUUACCCCUUUCGGAACACCUGAUACCGCUUCCAUAUUGUAGGUCAAUUUGCUUUUGGUUUAUUCAGCCGAAUUCGUGCAUUGGGCUCUUCAUUUUGACUAUUAUAACGAUUGACUUUUUAUACGCCCACAUUUUGAUGUUGACGUAUAUUGUCGUCACCCCUGUCCUUUCGGACGUCCGUCCCUCUGUCCGUUCACAAUUUGUUUAUGGACACUCUACAGGUCACAAUUCUUAUCCGAUUUUGACGAAACUUGAAAUAUAGGUUUAUUUCCAAAGGAUCUCGAUUCCUUUCGAUAUUGGAAUGUAUCGGAUCGAAACUUUUGAUGAAAAUUGAAUGCAUAUUUAUAUCACAAAGAUCUUGGUUCCGUUUGAUAUUUGCGUAUAUCGGAACUAACUUCCUGAAUUAUGGCACCGGAUUGUACGAAAAGUCGCUAUUUUUAUUAGCUUGGAGAUCCUCUAGAGGUCACAAUUUUUAUCCUAUUUUAAAAAACGUUUAAAUGUAUCACCGUUACACUCAAAUGACAAUUGAGUUCAAAUUUUGUGAAAAUCGGACCGAAACUGCCUGACAAAAUGGCCGCUCCUUGUAACAAAUAGCGACCCUAUAGAAGUCACAAUUUUUAUUCGAUUUUGAUGAAACUUAAAAUAUAUCCUUAUAUCACAAAGAUCUCCGUCCAUUUUGAUAUUCGCGCAUUUCAGACCAUAACCUCCUGGAUUAUGGCCCAUGAUUGUACGAAAAAUUGCUCUUUUAUUUUUAGCUUGUUCUCUAACCUACCCUUGCAAAAUGUGGGCGUAUCUUUUUGCAUUAAUGACCCUUAAAGACGAGUAGCAAACUUUCUUCUGUGCUUAAUUAUGUACCAAAGUAUACACAUAGACAUGUCUUCUUUCAUUCUAGACUGUAUCAAGGAAGGGCCGUCUGAACACCGCCUGUUGCACACAAGAUAAAGGUGUUGUACAAUCCGUAGUCCCAGACAGGAUAGUGUAUUAAAGCGCUGAUCUUGAACUAAAAUAAAACCAAGUACGAACAAUCCAAACCAUUAGCCAAAUUCGAAGUCAUAGAAUACACGACUCCUGUACUGAUUAUAAAAUGUUUAUGUGUUAAAUAUAGGAUAUUAGGUUAUAGAAGUCUAAUUCGUGUUUUUAAUUUCUAACAUAAUGGAAUAUAUUGAGUUAUUAAUACAAGUUUAGCUCCUUAAAGUAUAAUUACUAAUUAUGAUACGUAUUAUGUUUAUAUAGACUCUUAGAUAAUUUAUUGUGUAUUUUUCGAAUUGUGUAUAUUAUGAUGCGUAUGAUCAUAUAAUCGGCGAAUCCAGAAAAUUUUGCAGGGGCGGGUUUGUCAGAUUCCUGCUCAGGACAUUUGACAAUGCAGAUGCCAUCAUCGUCUCCAAAUUACGUAAGCAUACGUACAUACACUGAACUGUUUGACGUCAAUUUUAUAAUGACUUAAUAAGAUAACAUUGUGAUCCAAUUUCAUUGAUGCAAAGCAUUAAUUGUGAUAUCACUCGUGUCUAUAUCAUCAUCUUGCCUUUGAAUGCCCAUCCCAUCCCACCAUCUGAUGAUAAAGCACGCUACAUUUUGUGAUAAAUAGUGUUGUUUUACAAUUUAUUUUAUGUAGCUGAGCACCCCCCCCCCUCUGCAUCCGCCCCUGCAUAUAUUUAAAUAAUUUGAUAUCAUUGUACAUGUAUAAUAAUAUGUUGCCCUUGAUGUGUAUUAUAAAUUCACUUGAUAAUAUAUUUACCAGCACAUUUGUUUUAUUUGUAAAUAAACUAUUUUUAAAAAAUAAAAAACAAA
Long non-coding RNA from Patella vulgata (common limpet), 4030 nucleotides. RefSeq lists it as uncharacterized. Lineage: Eukaryota; Metazoa; Mollusca; Gastropoda; Patellidae. The record is from RefSeq and is a predicted model, not a curated record. The transcript is spliced from 5 exons.